UUUCUGUAGGUGAACCUGCGGAAGGAUCAUUCAUAAUAAAGUGUUUUAUGGCACUUUUUAAAAAUCCAUAUCCACCUUGUGUGCAAUGUUAGAUCUCGUCAAUCUUGGCGAGAUUUUUAUACAUCAACUCAUUCUUUAACUAAUUUGUCUGAAAAAUAUUAUGAAUACUUAAUUCAAAAUACAACUUUCAACAACGGAUCUCUUGGCUCCC
RNAcentral lists this unclassified non-coding RNA (211 nucleotides) under plant metagenome. RNAcentral's name for it is "partial contains small subunit ribosomal RNA, internal transcribed spacer 1, and 5.8S ribosomal RNA". The record is from RNAcentral.